GCUACUUUGGCACAGCAUAACGAUCCUACUUGUCUACUUUCUAGUACUCCUCCUUGGAUUAUUGAUUCAGGUGCCACUCAUCAUAUGACUAGUGAUUCUCGUCUUCUCACAUCCACCUCAUCUGUUCCUUCUACGUCGGUUACCUUAGCAGAUGGCUCUCAAUCCAGAGUAGCUGGUGCGGGAUCGGAAGACUGGGCGCCGAAUAGGUGGUGGGCGUGAGACCGGUGGAUUGUACAUCCUGGAUCCCGAGAUUAUUGUUGCUGCUACAACAGUUCAGAAUAAAGCUGUGGAUGAUUCAUAUAGGUUACAUUGUCGUCUUGGUCACCCAUCAGCGGACGUACUCCGACGAUUUCCUUUUAUGUCUAGUUCGAGUCUUCAAUUUAAUUGUGAAACUUGUCGGUUGGGCAAACAUCAUCGUGCGUCUUUUUCCCCUCGAGUUUUGAGUCGUGCUUCCCAACCAUUUGAGUUAGUUCACUCUGAUGUGUGGGGUCCUAGUCGAGAGUCUUCAUUUGGUCUUCGUUAUUUUGUCACUUUCAUCGAUGACCGUACUCAUACCACUUGGUUAUAUCUAAUAAAAGAUCGUACUGAAGUUUUUCAUUCUUUUCUCCAGUUUUAUAAUGAAGUACGUACUC
This is a long non-coding RNA of Rhodamnia argentea, 632 nucleotides long. RefSeq lists it as uncharacterized. The transcript is spliced from 2 exons. NCBI's taxonomy places the organism in Eukaryota, Viridiplantae, Streptophyta, Magnoliopsida, Myrtales, Myrtaceae. The record is from RefSeq and is a predicted model, not a curated record.